CCUACGGGUGGCAGCAGUAGGGAAUCUUCCACAAUGGGCGAAAGCCUGAUGGAGCAACGCAGCGUGGGUGAAGAAGGCCCUCGGAUCGUUAAACCCUGUUGUUAGAGAAGAAAGUGCGUGCGAGUAACUGUUCACGUUUCGACGGUAUCCAACCAGAAAGCCACGGCCAACUACGUCCCAGCAGCUGCGGUAAUACGUAGGUGGCCAGCGUUAUCCGGAUUUAUUGGGCGUAAAGGGAACGCAGGUGGUUGUUUAAGUCUGAUGUGAAAGCCUUCGGCUUAACCGGAGUAGUGCAUUGGAAACUGGCAGACUUGAGUGCAGAAGAGGGGAGUGGAACUCCAUGUGUAGCGGUGAAAUGCGUAGAUAUAUGGAAGAACACCAGUGGCGAAGGCAGCUCUCUGGUCUGUAACUGACGCUGAGGUUCGAAAGCGUGGGUAGCAAACAGGAUUAGAUACCCGGGUAGUC
RNAcentral lists this ribosomal RNA (465 nucleotides) under uncultured bacterium. RNAcentral describes it as "partial 16S ribosomal RNA". It matches the Rfam family "Bacterial small subunit ribosomal RNA", at positions 338 to 795 of the family's 1533-position model. The record is from RNAcentral.